RNAcentral lists this ribosomal RNA (170 nucleotides) under uncultured bacterium. RNAcentral's name for it is "partial 16S ribosomal RNA". It matches the Rfam family "Bacterial small subunit ribosomal RNA", at positions 357 to 524 of the family's 1533-position model. The record is from RNAcentral.
AGGAAUAUUGGUCAAUGGACGCAAGUCUGAACCAGCCAUGCCGCGUGGAGGAUGAAGGUCCUCUGGAUUGUAAACUUCUUUUAUAUGGGACGAAAAAAGGGUUUUCUAACUCGUCUGACGGUACCAUAUGAAUAAGCACCGGCUAACUCCGUGCCAGCAGCCGCGGUAAU